UGGGGAAUUUUGGACAAUGGGCGAAAGCCUGAUCCAGCAAUGCCGCGUGUGUGAAGAAGGCCUUCGGGUUGUAAAGCACUUUUGUCCGGAAAGAAAUCCUUGGCUCUAAUACAGUCGGGGGAUGACGGUACCGGAAGAAUAAGCACCGGCUAACUACGUGCCAGCAGCCGCGGUAGUACGUAGGGUGCAAGCGUUAAUCGGAAUUACUGGGCGUAAAGCGUGCGCAGGCGGUUUGCUAAGACCGAUGUGAAAUCCCCGGGCUCAACUGGGAACUGCAUUGGUGACUGGCAGGCUAGAGUAUGGCAGAGGGGGGUAGAAUUCCACUGUAGCAGUGAAAUGCGUAGAGAUGUGGAGGAAUACCGAUGGCGAAGGCAGCCCCCCUGGGGCCAAUACUGACGCUCAUGCACGAAAGCGUGGGGAGCAAACAGGAUUAGAUACCCUGGUAGUCCACGCCCUAAACGAUGUCAACUAGUUGUUGGGGAUUCAUUUCCUUAGUAACGUAGCUAACGCGUGAAGUUGACCGCCUGGGGAGUACGGUCGCAAGAUUAAAACUCAAAUGAAUUGACGGGGUCAUAGCUGUUUCCU
Molecule: ribosomal RNA, 585 nt
Filed under: uncultured bacterium
Lineage: Bacteria
Description: partial 16S ribosomal RNA
Rfam family: Bacterial small subunit ribosomal RNA
Source: RNAcentral